This is a small nucleolar RNA of Manihot esculenta (cassava), 149 nucleotides long. RefSeq annotates it as small nucleolar RNA snoR145. The record is from RefSeq and is a predicted model, not a curated record. The transcript has a single exon. NCBI's taxonomy places the organism in Eukaryota, Viridiplantae, Streptophyta, Magnoliopsida, Malpighiales, Euphorbiaceae.
GAGCGAAGGUCCCAGCAGAGAGGUAAGAGACUCUGAAUUGAGGCCUCUCGAACUAUAAUACAAACCUUCGCAGAUUAAUUUGCCGAAUCGUAGGAUGCCCAGAAUUAUUUUCCAUUUCUGUUGCAUCUGGAACCCUCGGCUAUAUCUAU